CGGGGUGUAGCUCAGCUGGUAGAGCGCUGCGUUCGGGACGCAGAGGCCGUGAGUUCGAGCCUCGCCACUCCGACCA
RNAcentral lists this transfer RNA (76 nucleotides) under Ruminococcaceae bacterium OttesenSCG-928-N02. RNAcentral describes it as "tRNA-Pro". It matches the Rfam family "tRNA". Rfam says of the family: Transfer RNA (tRNA) molecules are approximately 80 nucleotides in length. Their secondary structure includes four short double-helical elements and three loops (D, anti-codon, and T loops). Lineage: Bacteria; Bacillati; Bacillota; Clostridia; Eubacteriales; Oscillospiraceae. The record is from RNAcentral.